This 347-nucleotide ribosomal RNA is filed under the name Candidatus Nomurabacteria bacterium RIFCSPHIGHO2_01_FULL_37_110. Its description in RNAcentral is "bacterial SSU rRNA". It matches the Rfam family "Bacterial small subunit ribosomal RNA", at positions 1 to 323 of the family's 1533-position model. The record is from RNAcentral. Lineage: Bacteria; Candidatus Nomuraibacteriota.
UUUUAGUUAGAGUUUGAUCCUAGCUCAGGAUGAACGCUGGCGGCGUGGAUAAGGCAUGCAAGUCGAACGGAAAUUUUAUCGUCGAAAAUGAGAUUAUAUCAAGUUGGAGAUAUCAAAAUUUUAGUGGCGAACGAGGUAGUAAUACAUAGGAACUUCCCCUCUAGUCGUGAAUAAUCCGUCGAAAGACGGACUAAUACACGAUGGUCCCUGAGAUGAAAGUCGAAUGGGUAAAGUUUUAACGCUAGAGGAAAGGCCUGUGCGAUAUCAGCUAGUUGGUAAGGUAAUGGCUUACCAAGGCUAUGACGUCUAGGGGAGGUGAGAGCCUGACCCCCACCGAUGGUACUGAG